RNAcentral lists this signal recognition particle RNA (265 nucleotides) under Candidatus Cloacimonadota bacterium. RNAcentral's name for it is "signal recognition particle sRNA large type". It matches the Rfam family "Bacterial large signal recognition particle RNA". Rfam says of the family: The signal recognition particle (SRP) is a universally conserved ribonucleoprotein involved in the co-translational targeting of proteins to membranes. Archaeal SRP consists of a 7S RNA and homologues of the eukaryotic SRP19 and SRP54 proteins. In most bacteria, the SRP consists of a 4.5S RNA and the Ffh protein (a homologue of the eukaryotic SRP54 protein). The record is from RNAcentral. Lineage: Bacteria; Pseudomonadati; Candidatus Cloacimonadota.
GUGUGCUAAGUGGGAAGUUAGCGGUGUCCUGUAACCUGCAAUCCGCUAUAGCAGGGCUGAAUUCCUAUCCGCGGGAUUUGAUAGCUGAGUUUUAUUUUAUGAAAGUGAUGUUGAGAGUCAAGUCUAACGCAAUCAUGCUCUGUGAAUCUUGUCAGAACCGGAAGGUAGCAGCAAUAAGCAGUUAGCCAGAUGUGCCGUUAGUAAACUUGACUUGAGUUAACUACAUAAAAGAGCUUGGAAUAGAAUCACAAGGAUAGGUGCACAC